RNAcentral lists this unclassified non-coding RNA (329 nucleotides) under soil metagenome. Its description in RNAcentral is "partial contains 5.8S ribosomal RNA, internal transcribed spacer 2, and large subunit ribosomal RNA". The stretch from base 1 to 120 matches the Rfam family "5.8S ribosomal RNA", at positions 35 to 154 of the family's 154-position model. The record is from RNAcentral.
GAUGAAGAACGCAGCGAAAUGCGAUAAGUAAUGUGAAUUGCAGAAUUCAGUGAAUCAUCGAAUCUUUGAACGCACAUUGCGCCCUCUGGUAUUCCGGGGGGCAUGCCUGUCCGAGCGUCAUUACAACCCUCAAGCUCAGCUUGGUAUUGGGCCCCGCCGACCCGGCGGGCCCUAAAGUCAGUGGCGGUGCCGUCCGGCUCCGAGCGUAGUAAUUCUUCUCGCUCUGGAGGUCCGGUCGUGUGCUCGCCAGCAACCCCCAAUUUUUUUCAGGUUGACCUCGGAUCAGGUAGGGAUACCCGCUGAACUUAAGCAUAUCAAUAAGCGGAGGA